GGGCAUAGGGCGAUCUGCGAUGUCUGUCACUCCAUUGAGGCUGGUCUGGCUGAUUGGGCAGGGACCCCUCUCCUCCCUCAGUACUCUAGGUGCAUGUCUCCCAAAGGCUUGGUUAAAGAUGGCUUUCCCUGAAGGGAGAACGGGUUCUCCUGUCAAAGGUAUAUGAGCAUUUCUGCUCCUCUGCUAGAACUUUCCAAGACAUUCAGGGAUGGUACUGGAGCUGGAGCUGGAGCUGGAGAGAUGGCUCAGCAGGUGCCAAGCUGACUACCUGAGUUC
Rattus norvegicus (Norway rat) is the source of this 276-nucleotide non-coding RNA. NCBI's taxonomy places the organism in Eukaryota, Metazoa, Chordata, Mammalia, Rodentia, Muridae. The record is from Rfam.